RNAcentral lists this ribosomal RNA (750 nucleotides) under Companilactobacillus farciminis. RNAcentral's name for it is "bacterial SSU rRNA". It matches the Rfam family "Bacterial small subunit ribosomal RNA", at positions 56 to 774 of the family's 1533-position model. Lineage: Bacteria; Bacillati; Bacillota; Bacilli; Lactobacillales; Lactobacillaceae. The record is from RNAcentral.
UGCAGUCNNNNAACUCUGCUGAUGAUUGAAGCUUGCUUCAUGAAUCAGAUUUGAGUGAGUGGCGGACGGGUGAGUAACACGUGGGUAACCUGCCCAAAAGUGGGGGAUAACAUUUGGAAACAAGUGCUAAUACCGCAUAACAACUACUUUCACAUGAUCGUAGCUUGAAAGAUGGCUCUGCUAUCGCUUUUGGAUGGACCCGCGGCGUAUUAGCUAGUUGGUGAGGUAAUAGCUCACCAAGGCAAUGAUACGUAGCCGACCUGAGAGGGUAAUCGGCCACAUUGGGACUGAGACACGGCCCAAACUCCUACGGGAGGCAGCAGUAGGGAAUCUUCCACAAUGGGCGAAAGCCUGAUGGAGCAAUGCCGCGUGAGUGAAGAAGGUUUUCGGAUCGUAAAACUCUGUUGUUGAAGAAGAACAUGCGUGAGAGUAACUGUUCACGUACUGACGGUAUUCAACCAGAAAGCCACGGCUAACUACGUGCCAGCAGCCGCGGUAAUACGUAGGUGGCAAGCGUUGUCCGGAUUUAUUGGGCGUAAAGAGAAUGUAGGCGGUUUAUUAAGUUUGAAGUGAAAGCCCUCGGCUCAACCGAGGAAGUGCUUCGAAAACUGGUAAACUUGAGUGCAGAAGAGGAAAGUGGAACUCCAUGUGUAGCGGUGGAAUGCGUAGAUAUAUGGAAGAACACCAGUGGCGAAGGCGGCUUUCUGGUCUGUAACUGACGCUGAGAUUCGAAAGCAUGGGUAGCAAACA